ACGCUGGCGGCGUGCCUAACACAUGCAAGUCGAACGGGAUGCGUAUCGGAAAGCUUCGGCCGGAAGAUACGUUAUCUAGUGGCGGACGGGUGAGUAACACGUGGGUAACCUGCCUUAUGGAGGGGGAUAACAGAGAGAAAUCACUGCUAAUACCGCAUAAGCACGCAGUACCGCAUGGUAGAGUGUGAAAAGAUUUAUCGCCAUAAGAUGGACCCGCGUCUGAUUAGCCAGUUGGCAGGGUAAAAGCCUACCAAAGCGACGAUCAGUAGCCGAUCUGAGAGGAUGACCGGCCACAUUGGGACUGAGACACGGCCCAAACUCCUACGGGAGGCAGCAGUGGGGAAUAUUGCACAAUGGGGGAAACCCUGAUGCAGCGACGCCGCGUGAGUGAAGAAGUAUUUCGGUAUGUAAAGCUCCAUCAGCAGGGAAGAUAAUGACAGUACCUGACUAAGAAGCCCCGGCUAACUACGUGCCAGCAGCCGCGGUAAUACGUAGGGGGCAAGCGUUAUCCGGAUUUACUGGGUGUAAAGGGAGCGUAGACGGAGUGGCAAGUCUGAGGUGAAAACCCUGGGCUCAACCCUGGGACUGCUUUGGAAACUGUUAAUCUAGAGUGUUGGAGAGGUAAGUGGAAUUCCUGGUGUAGCGGUGAAAUGCGUAGAUAUCAGGAAGAACACCGGAGGCGAAGGCGGCUUACUGGACAAUAACUGACGUUGAGGCUCGAAAGCGUGGGGAUCAAACAGGAUUAGAUACCCUGGUAGUCCACGCUGUAAACGAUGAAUACUAGGUGUCGGGGAGCAAAGCUUCUCGGUGCCGUCGCAAACGCAAUAAGUAUUCCACCUGGGGAGUACGUUCGCAAGAAUGAAACUCAAAGGAAUUGACGGGGACCCGCACAAGCGGUGGAG
RNAcentral lists this ribosomal RNA (902 nucleotides) under uncultured bacterium. Its description in RNAcentral is "bacterial SSU rRNA". It matches the Rfam family "Bacterial small subunit ribosomal RNA", at positions 33 to 937 of the family's 1533-position model. The record is from RNAcentral.